RNAcentral lists this long non-coding RNA (11534 nucleotides) under Gossypium barbadense (sea-island cotton). RNAcentral's name for it is "long non-coding RNA (GBAR_LNC004150)". The record is from RNAcentral. Lineage: Eukaryota; Viridiplantae; Streptophyta; Magnoliopsida; Malvales; Malvaceae.
AAUGAGAAUUCAAAAAAAAAUUUAUUAAAGAUGAUAUAAUGUUUGUAAUGGACCAAAUUUGCCCGACCCAAGCAAACACAAGAAAACCAAAACAAAAUAUAAAAUAAAUCAAUAAACAAAAAUUUUAAAACACAAAUAGUCCAUUAAAUGUCUAUUUACAGACUUUAGCCCAAUACUCAUCAGCCUAAUCCCUAACCCAGAAAAAUACAUGGCCCGAUGGCCCAAAACCUAGAUCUAGGAUCGGCCAAAUGAAACCCAAAAGGCUCUCUCCAUGCGCCGCAACCAUUCAGCCUCCACGCCUCAGUACGCUCCAGCGUUUCAGUAGUCAUGCGCGCACCCGUACGCCAGCUACCGUACCCGAACGCCAGCACGUCUCGUACCUGCAAAAGGGACGAACACAGAAGCAAAUGAAAACACCCAGCAGAAUAGACAAAAAACAAAGGAGAAUAUUGUAUUUAUGUUUUAUUUUCUACCAUUUUUCUCUUUCUCUUCGGCUAUAAAAAGCCAAGCUUUGAAUCGCCAGAAGAAAAAAAGAAAAAAGAAAGCAAUCAAAAGCAUUCGAAUAGAAAUAUUAAAAAGGUGACCUUUUUAGUUCUUCUUCUUUCCCGAUUCGGGGAUCUUUCUUUCCUAGUUUCUGUCUUUUGUAUUUGGUGUAUAAAAAACAACAAAAAAGGCUUACCUCCGUUCUUGGUUCCCUCGAAUCCUCGCUCACUUCGUCGCAAUCGGAGUUUUUUGGGGGGGGAUUCAGAGACUUCUAAAAGAACCUUUGGACUCACGGUCGAACGGAGCCGGAUUAGGCCUUUUGUAUGAUGACCGUCGAUCAAGUAUGAAGUUCGGACGGCAGGCGAAAGGACUUAGAGUUCGGCCGAAUGAAUAGGAGGCUAGGCUUUAGAUUUUUUUUAUCAUUUUGAUCUGCCUUUGAAUGGUAUACAACUAGUUUUAGGGUUUUCUUCAACCUGACUUUGUCAAAAGUGAAACGGCGUCGUUUCAAAGGGAGAGGGAUCCGCGUGUUAACCCGAUGGAUAGGCCGGGUCCGCGCUUCUUUGUUUGAAAGGGCUAAUUGUGCCCCAGGUCCCUCCCCUUUACGCGGAUGCUCAAUCGCCUCUUGUUUGCUUAUUUGUUUUUUUUUUUAGAUUAGCCCUGUAAUUUGAGCAUGUUUGCGCUUUAGUCCGUGUCUCUGCUCUGCGUUUUAGGACUUGGUUUAUUUCCAGUUCUAGUCCUUCUAUAUUCACGCGCAUUGCACUUUGGUUUUUUUUCUAUCUUACUAGUUUAUUUUAUUUAUUAAUUAUCCCUUUAGUCCGAUUUUAUUGCAAUUGAGUUUUACUUAAAUUUGUGUAGUUCAUUUUUUUUAUAUACAUAACAUUCAUUUUUCAAUUUUUUUUAUAUAUAUACAUUUUAAAUUACUUUGAUAAUUUACUUUGUCUUUUUUUUUUGUUGUUUAAAGUAUAAAACUAUUAUCUUAAAACUACCUUGUAUAUCAUAUUGUUUUCAAAAUUUUGUAUAAUAUUUAAUUUAUAUUUAACUUAUAUUAAUGCAUACAUGAUUUAUGACAAAAGUAGUUUUCUUUUAUACAUAUUAUUAGUUCCAUGAUUAUUUUACACUUUUAAUUUCUUUUAAAUCUAUUUAUUUGUAUUUCCCAUCAAAUUUAUUUUGUAUAUAGUUUAUUCUUUGAAAAAUAUAUUUUAUUAUUUUCUUGUUAUUUAAGACCAUUUCAUAUAUAUGUAUAUAUAUACUCUCUGUUAAAUCUAUUUAUGCGUGUUAUUUAUCUAUAUAUAUAUUGAUUUGCAUAUUGUCUAUAUUGUUUUGUUAUAAAUUUGUUUUCACGCUUAUAUGUACGUAAAUGUUUCUUAUAUUAUCAGUUUUGAAUGGUUGAACAUUGUGUUUUUACAUGGAUUGUUGAUCUUCUAUGGUUUUAUGUAUUUUCCUUUAAAUCUAUUUCAUUGUACAUUUCCUUUUAAAUCAAUUUUUUAUAUAUGUAUAUACAUAUAUUUUUUUAAAAAAAUUCUUAUAUAGUUCAUUACACAAGAACAUAUUUUAUUAUAUAUUCUUUUGUUAUUUAAGAACCUUUCAUGUCUUGUAUAUCAUUUAAGUUUUCUUUUAUUUUGCAUGAAUAUUGUCAACUUAAAAUAGAUGUAUUAUCUUGCAUGUUAUUCAAUUCAAAGUCUUUUUUAUAUUGAUAAUUAUUUAUAUAGUAUUUUUAUCCAUGUAAAUUAUUUCAAAUUCAAGCAUGUAGUAUUCGUUCAUCGAUUCAUCAUUUUUAUUGUUUUGCAUCAUAUUAGUUUUAUUUUGUUUGGUACAUUAUGUGGUGGUUGUUUUAGGUUAUUUCAUGCAUAUUGGUUGCACGUUAUUAAUUCGCCUUUUUAUGUGUUAGUAUAUCAAUCAUCAUUUACCCACGCUUGUAAACUUUGUUGUUUUAAAUUAGUUGUUAGUUUCAUUUGAUUGGUUAAAUAAAAUUACGUUGUCUUCAUUUACCAAGUGUCGCACACAUAUUACCCCAUUCAUCGUUUUCUACUAGAUCUUUGAAAUGUGGUUUUAUAAAACCCAAAUUUUAUGAUUAAUUUCGUCUUAUUUCAAAUCGAAUUAAUACGUCUUAAGCUAGCAUUAUAAUUAUUCAUUCAAAAAUUCUUCAAAACAAAGAUGAGAUUUGAUGUUUGGCAAUUCGCGGAAUCGUGCCCUAACGUGUUGGGUUGCAACUUCGCAUUUGCUCAAAAUAAUCGAAUAUCACUUCAAAGUUUCACUCAUAUCUUCUAAAAAUCUUUUAAAAUGAAGGUAAUACUCGGUAUUUGAUAAUUCGAGAAUCAUGCCCUAUCGUGCUAGGUUGUGAUUUCUCGUUUGUUCAAAACAAUCGAAUAUUCCUUUAUAUUCUCACUCAUGUUUAUUAAAAACACUUUAAAACGAAGACGAUGUUCAAUGUUUGGCGAUUUGAGAAUCGUGCCCUAUCGUGCUAGGUUACACUUUUUCAUUGGUUCGAAACAAUUGAAGAUCCCUUCGGAAUUUCACUCACAUUUUCUAAAAUCUUUCAAAAUGAAGGCGAUAUUCGAUGUUUGGCGAUUUGAGAAUCGAGCCCUAUCGUGCUGGGUUGCGCUUUUUCAUUUGUUCAAAUUAAUCGAAUAUCCCUUUGGAAUUUCACUCGUAUUUUCUAAGGUGAGGCAAUGAUCAAUGUUUGGAAAUUCGAGGAAUCGUGUCCUACUGUGCUGGGUUUCGAUUUUCCGUUGAACUAAACAGUUGAACAUCCUUUUGUGAUUUUCAAAUUAAAAAUUUUUCGAAUGUCGAAACAAGAAGAUUUUUGGUAACCGACUCGGGUUAUUUAAACAGAACCACACUUCAAAAACAUUUUUUUAGACAAAAGGGCAGUAUCUAAUCGAUUCGGUACCAAUUUUGGGCGUAGUGAGGGUGCUAAUCCUUCUUCAUGCGUAACCGACUCUCGAACCCGUCUUCUCAAAAGUUCGUAGACCAAAAUCAUUGUUUUAAUAAACCAAAAAUGUUUUAUUAAACUAACCUCAUUUUUAGGUGAUCCGAUCACACCAAAACAAAAGAUCGAUGGCGACUCCAUGCAUUUGUUUUUCAAAAGUCGAUUUCCCCCCUUUUUUAAAAAAAAUAUAAAAUUUUUAAUUCGAGGGAUGGUUUCGACAGCUUGGCGACUCCACUGGGGACUAGAGAGAGUCUAGCCAUAAAUUUGAUUAUUUGUUGUCCUUUUGUCAGAAAUUGAAAAUUUGUUUUUUGCAUUCGAUUAUAUGAUCGUUUUAAUGUGGGUCUAGUAGAAUGAUGCUGCAUUGCAUUACAUGACCGUUGUGGUUACACCUUCUAAGUGGGAGUAAGAAACUACGCUUUCGUGAGGUUUUCACCUCCGCAUGGGCUAGUGGAUUGCUUCCGGGGUACAUCCUUACCUAUGAUUUCGUGAGAUUUUCAUCUCCGCAUAGUCAUAGGGAAAUGUAUCCUCCCGAACCGAACUCGAUCUACAUGAGCCUAUAAUGGGUGAGGAUCGAGGAAUCUGCUGGUUCGGGUACCCUUACUCUAGAACCAAGCAACAUAUAGAGAGACCUAGGAGCUUACCCUAGGUAGAGCCACUCUGAACCCCUAGUGAUCACCUGAUUAGGUACUUUGUUGGUUGUUUAUUUCUGUACUAACGUGUUUUUUUUGUUCAUGAUUGCAUUGCAUUACAUCAUCAUAGAAAGGAGGUGUUGAUUCAUAUUCAAUUGCUAAAUAGAACAAUUUGUCAUAAGAAAACAAAUUUCUUAAUAACGCGGAUUACAAUACGGUUGUCCGAAUUUGGUCCAAGUGAACACGAUAGAAGAAGGCUAACAGUUCGUGGAGGAAAACAAAACUUUACCUAAGGAUUCAAGCUGAUAAAGAUUAUCCAAAAGCCGUCGCAUCCCGACUUUCUUAAAGGAGCUAAUUAACAUUGCGAGGAUAGUAAUUCGUGGCCUGGAUCAAGCAAAAUGAGCCAGUAGAGGCAUGCAUUGGAAGCUUGCGAGAUUUGACUUUUAUGAAGAAAGGGGAUCAAUGCCUUCGCCUCGAAUAUGAAAGCAAGGCCGUAUACGUAAUUCGUUUUAUGAAAAAGAAUUUGUUUUAUAGAAAAGUUGUUCUAGGGGAAUUGAAUUCAAAAUCAACAUCUUCCUUUCCUUUGCAUUCAUCCCAUGCAUUUACAUUGCAUUGCAUCAUUUGCAUUGCAUUGCAUUGCAUCAUUUGCAUUAAAUUUCCCAAAAGGACCCUAAUUAGGUAAAGUUAUUUCAGAACUGACAAAAGAUAUGGACCAAAGGUUGGAGAGAAUGGAGCAAAGGCAACUACAGAUGCAAGAGCAGUUGAUCGAAAUUCAACAAGAUAUGCGAGAAAUGCUAGAACUCCAAAAAAAUAUGAUGGGCCAGGUAACCCAUUUACUGGCCGGAGAAUUCAAAAAAAGGAGUGGCCCAGUGGUCAAUGGUGGGGAUGAUGUUGAAGAGAUCAUUUACUCCCCAGGCUUUACCCCAAUAAGCGUUCCGACCCAACCAGACAUGCAAGGGGUACCCGCUGUUAUCGGACACCAAUAUCAGACGGAUACAUCAACACUGAUGAGUUUCUCGAUGGGUUCAGGUUUUAACCCGAAAGAUGAUCAAGCCAAGCCAGUUGCUCUGGCAGAAACAAAAGCAAAGGGGGAGCGGACUUUAACGGCCCCGAAAAAGAAAGAAAAUAAGGCAAAUAGUACGAGUAGGUAUAACAAGGGUCGUUCGGAGCCGAUUAUAGCAGGCCGGCCAAGGUCAGUAGCUACCAGCCAUCAGGCCUCCUCAAGGCAAGAACCCAAUCGAAAAUCGAACUCAAAAAAACCCCAAUACACGCCCAUUCCAAUCACAUACGGAGAGUUGUACCGCGUUCUAUUCGACACACGUGUUGUAUCCCCUUUUUACAUAAAACCAAUACAACUUCCGUACCCUAAAUGGUAUGACGCAAGCAGCCAAUGUGAAUACCAUGCGGGAAUCACGGGGCAUUCUAUCGAAAACUGUAUCGUUUUUAAGAAGCUAAUCGAAAGAUUUAUUAAAUUGGGUAUUGUGGAAUUUGAUGGUCCCUCUGGAGCGGGAAAUCAGUUAUCCAACCUUUCUGUUAAAGAGGCGAAUGUUAUGAGUUCCAUGCUAGAUUAGGGCACGAGAUUUAAGGGUGCAUCGAGCUCGGGACUCUAAUGCAAGGCCUGGUAUUGGGGAACCCGACCAUCAACGAUGUAUCAGAAGAGGGAACCCGAGAGUAGACUUUUCCAAGCUUCUUUCUUUACGUACUUAGGGUGUUUUGAACAAUAGGACUGUGAAAAGGAUCUUUGUAUUUUUUAGAGCUAAUCUAGAGUAAUAUUCAAAACACACUUGUUGUUUUAAGCCUAGAAGCAACAAGAAUCCUUUUGUGAAAUAGACUUAUAUCCAAAAUCUUUAUUUCAAUGAAAUACAUGUUUGAGUAAAUAUUCUUUUAUUCUUUCUAUUUUAUAUGUUUAUUAUUAGAUUCUUUCAUUCAUGAUCAUACCAUACAAAUAAUCAUUCAUAGAAUCAUUUAUUCUUUGAAAUAUGCCUUCGUACCUCUAACAGGUCUCUAGAUACCAAUGACGUGAGCGACGCUGUCAUUAAUUUCGAGUCUUUUUUGAGCAAGAUAUGUGUCUAGAGGGUCACUUCAUGUGUCAAUAAUUACAAGAUUAAUAGUCGUCAAAUUUCAAAUUUCAAAUUUCAAAAAAAAAAAGAAAGAAAAAGAGAAGCGGUUGCUGACAAGUAAUGUCAAAAAGGAUUAUCUUCAAAUACAUUUGCACAAUGUCAAAAGUUUGCAAUUUGUUCAAGGAUCAGGCACCAUAUUACAGUGCAGUAAAGGCAUCCAAAAAGAAAGACAAAAAGUUCAAAAAUAUAAAAAAAAGAAAAAAAAAAGGGGAAAGCAAAUAAUAGAACAAAAGCCAUAGUGAAAAAUGACAGAGUCUUGUAAAUAUUGUCAUAAAGAAGUUAUCAUUUACCCUCUAUAUUUGUCAAACGUCGGCCAGAACCUUCGCCGAGGCAAUACAUUGUUCGAUGGAUUUUGAAAGAAAGAUUUCUUUUGGUCAAGUCUUAGCUGAAGUUGGAUUAGGCAAAAUAGAUUUAACCCCGAUAUGAUCAGUUGAAUUUGAAGAAAGGAGAUUGAAAGCCAUAUGACAUGGCCCAAUGUACCAGAAAUGAAUGAUGCAAGCUUACAUCAGAAAGGUUCUUCUUAAAGGAUUCCAUAAGGGAGACCGGGCAUUGAAAAGUUCCUUUUUACAAAAAAAGACUUCCAAGGAAAGUGAAAGGCCACAGAAAAAACCCUCAAAUGAUACUCUGAGAUCUUCAAAAAAUAAUAAAAUAAAAAAAAAGAGAAAGAAAGAAAGAAAGAAAAUGAGAGGCCAAAGCGAAAACCCGCAAAUGGCGCCUUGAGACCAAGGGGGAUUUGAGUUGAAAACCCAAAAGGGCAGCUCAAAUUUGGAUCAAAGUGAGGCAUACAGUAGUCUUGCUAAAUCUGAAUUAACAAUAAAAAAGUAUGCUACAUCUUGGGGCAUCGACAAAGUGCCGCGGAUCCCCUAAACACAUAUUGAGAUCAGAAAGGUCCUCAAGAAGUUAGUACAGAGAAGCUCAAGCUGCGAUAUCUGGGGCACCUAGUUUCCAUUUUGCUCAUUUUGAAUUUGUUAUCUUUGAUUGCCUUAUUCUUUUCAAGAUACAUCCCAAUAAAUUUCCUUCUUAUUGCAUCGUUAUCUUUGAUUAACCCAUUCAUGUUGAUUUAAUUGCCUUCUUGUUGCAUUUGCAAUCUUUGAUUAACUUAUUUGCUUCGAGUUGUGCUCUUACCCAAUUUUCUUCUUGUCCAUUGUUUUGAUCUUUUUCGAGCAUGUUGCAUUGAAAUAAAGAUUAAUGGACCAAUAAUACUUUCAUAAAAGAAGUCUUGCAUAUUACUCGAGAGGCUUCUAAAUAGUACAAGAACCUGAAACAAGACUGUUGUUGAGAACCCACCAAACCUAAGGGAUGGAAAUGUUUGAGAAGGAGGAGUCUAAAUUAUGGCUAUCUCUUCGGAUUUUCUAUCACAGGUAUCGGUUGAAUGAAGAGGCAAGAUAUUUCAUCGGUGAUACAACCUUGACAAAUGACGAGCAAUGUCAACCCAAGUGUAAAAGGGGGAUCGUUAUCAGGAAAAGAAAAAUGAUAUUUCGCAUUCACAUGAAUAUCAGACAUGCACAUAGGGUCAUUACACCCAAAGGAUGAUCAAAUUGAUCCUAUACCCUGAGUUGCAGUGGGUUGGAUAAGCAAAAACUCAAUAAAAUUUCAGUAGGGCAAGCUUGCCGAGCAGAUUGAGAGUGUUUCUUUGGGUUUUCUGUCAAGAAUACCAGCUGAAUAAGGUGGCCGCGUAAUACGUCAGUGAUAAUGUCCUGAUGAACGAGCAAUAAUACCUAGGUCUUUUUCAUUUCCAUAUCAUUCAUAACACAUCUAGUUAGAAGCAUUCGAUUCAUCUCAAUCAUAGCAUUCCAAUUAUUUGACACAAACAUCACAUCUAGUUAGGAACAAUUGAUUCAUGUUGAUCAUAGCAUCCUAAUUAUUUGGCAUAAGCAUGGGCUUAUGAGGCUAAAAUUUUAGAUCUUAUUUCCCUGAAAUUGAAGUGAAGCAGAUCGAAGACGGCGAAUCUGAGCUUCCUGAAGUUGCAGUGAAGUAGAUUUAAGCCACCAACCUAGCUCUCUAAAGUUGUAGUGGAGUAGGCUAAAAUUUCAGAUCUUGUUUCCCUGAAGUUGCAGUGAAGCAGAUCGAAGACAGCAAAUCUGAGCUUCCUGAAGUUGCAGUGAAGCAGAUUUAAGCCACCAACCUAGCUCCCUAAAGUUGUAGUGGAGUAGGCUAAAAUUUUAGAUCUUGUUUCCCUGAAGUUACAGUGAAGCAGAUCGAAGACGGCAAAUCUGAGCUUCCUGAAGUUGCAAGGAAGCAAAUUUAAGCCACCAUCCUAGCUCCCUAAGGUUGUAGUGGAAUAGGCUGAAGAUUAUAAAUCUUGUUUCCCUGAUAUUGCAGUGGGGCAGAUCGAAGACGGCGAAUCUAGGCUUCCUGAUGUUGCAGUGAAGUAGAUUUAAGCAAGUCUUAGCUCUCUAAAGUUGUAGUGGAGUAGGCUGAAGAUUGUAGAUCUCGCCUCCCUGAAGUUGCAGUGAGGCAAAUCAAAGACGAUAAAUCUUGGCUUCCUGAAGAUGCAGCGAAGCAGAUUUAAGCAUCCUAGCUCCCUAAGGUUGUAGUGGAGUAGGCUGAAGAUUAUAGAUCUUGUUUCCCUGAGAUUGCAGUGGGGCAGAUCGAAGACGGUGAAUCUAGGCUUCUUGAUGUUACAGUAAAGCAGAUUUAAGCAAGUCCUAGCUCUCUAAAGUUGUAGUGGAGUAGGCUGAGGAUUGUAAAUCUCGUCUCCCUGAAGUUGCAGUGAGGCAAAUCAAAGACGAUAAGUCUUGGCUUCCUGAAGAUGCAGCGAAGCAGAUUUAAGCAAGUCCUAGCUCCCUAAAGUUGUAGUGAAGUGGGCUGAAGAUUGUAGGUCUUAUCUUCUCGAAGUCUCGAUAGAACAGAUCAAGCUAAUUACAGAAUAAUAGAUUAAAGUAACAAGCCUCAAGUAGCCGCAGUGGAGUAGAUCAAAGCAACAGUUCUUAUACCUUUAAAAAUGCAAUGGGGCCAGUUGAAGAAGAGAAGCACCAAAGAAGUAAAGAUCCUGUAAGACCAGACAGAUUUGGCGUCUCUGUAGUAGCGGAAAGCAAAUCGAAGAUAGCAGAUUUAGCAUCUCUGUAGUGGCGGUGAGCAAAUCAAAGAUAGCAGAUUUGGCGUCUCUAUAUUGGCGGAGAGCAGAUUGAAAAUAGUAGAUUUGGCGUUUCUGUAUUGGCGGAGAGCAGAUCGAAGAUAGCAGAUUUGGCGUCUCUGUAUUGGCGGAGAGCAGAUCGAAGAUAGCAGAUUUGGCGUCUCUGUGUUGGCAGAGAGCAGAUCGAAGAUAGCAGAUUUGGCGUCUCUGUGUUGGCGGAGAGCAGAUCGAAGAUAGCAGAUUUGGUAUUGGCGGAGAGCAGAUCGAAGAUAGCAGAUUUAGCGUCUCUGUAUUGGCGGAGAGAAGAUCGAAGAUAGCAGAUUUGGCGUCUCUGUAUUGGCGGAGAGCAGAUCGAAGAUAGUAGAUUUGGCGUCUCUGUGUUGGCGGAGAGCAGAUCGAAGAUAGCACAUUUAACGUCUCUGUAUCGUCGGAGGGCAGAUCGAAGAUAGCAGAUUUUGCGUCUCUGUAUUGACAAAGAGCAGAUCGAAAAUAGCAGAUUUGGCGUCUCUGUAUUGACAGAGAGCAGAUCGAAGAUAGCAGAUUUGGCGUCUCUGUAUCGUCGGAGGGCAGAUCGAAGAUAGCAGAUUUGGCAUCUCUGUAUUGUUAGAGGGCAGAUCGAAGAAGUUAGAUUUGGUGUUUCUGUAUUGGCGGAGAGCAGAUCGAAGAUAGCAGAUUUGGCGUCUCUGUAUUGGCGGAGAGCAAAUCGAAGACAGCAGAUUUGGCGUCUCUGUAUUGGCGGAGAGUAGAUCGAAGAGAGCAGAUUUGGCGUCUCUGUAUUGACAAAGAGCAGAUCGAAGAUAGAAGAUUUGGCGUCUCUGUAUUGGCGGAGAGUAAAUCGAAGAGAGGAGAUUUGGCGUCUCUAUAUUGACAGAGAGCAGAUCGAAGAUAGCAGAUUUGGCGUCUCUGUAUUAUCGGAGGGCAGAUCGAAGAUAGCAGAUUUGGCGUCUCUAUAUUGUCAGAGGGCAGAUCGAAGAUGUUAGAUUUGGUGUCUCUGUAUUGGCGGAGAGCAGAUCGAAGAUAGCAGAUUUGGCGUCUCUGUAUUUGCAGAGAGCAAAUCGAAGACAGCAGAUUUGGCGUCUCUGUAUUGGCGGAGAGCAGAUCGAAGAUGACAGAUUUGGCGUCUCUGUAUUGGCGGAGAGUAGAUCGAAGAUAGCAGAUUUGGCAUCUCUGUGUUGAUAGAGAGUAGAUCGAAGAUGACAGAUUUGGCAUCUCUAUAUUGGCAGAGAGCAGAUAAAAAUAACAGAUUGGUGUUCCCGAGUUUUCAAGAAGCAAGUCGAAAAUAGCCAAUUUGACACUCCUGAAGACAUCAGAAUACCUUUAGGGAAUAUGAGGAUCAAGACUUUGAGACUUAGCCAGACCGGGCAAAUUUGGUCCUUUUUAUAGUCUUUGCUCCAUUCUCGUUACACGACAAUGAGCAAAGAGGGACAGCUGUAAUGGGCCAAAUUUGCCCGACCCAAGCAAACACAAGAAAACCAAAACAAAAUAUAAAAUAAAUCAAUAAACAAAAAUUUUAAAACACAAAUAGUCCAUUAAAUGUCUAUUUACAGACUUUAGCCCAAUACUCAUCAGCCUAAUCCCUAACCCAGAAAAAUACAUGGCCCGAUGGCCCAAAACCUAGAUCUAGGAUCGGCCAAACGAAACCCUAAGGCUCUCUCCGUACGCCGCAACCAUUCAGCCUCCACGCCUCAGUACGCUCCAGCGUUUCAGUAGUCAUGCGCGCACCCGUACGCCAGCUAUAGUACCCGAACGCCAGCUCGUCUCGUACCUGCAAAAGGGACGAACACAGAAGCAAAUGAAAACACCCAGCAGAAUAGACAAAAAACAAAGGAGAAUAUUGUAUUUAUGUUUUAUUUUCUACCAUUUUUCUCUUUCUCUUCGGCUAUAAAAAGCCAAGCUUUGAAUCGCCAGAAGAAAAAAAGAAAAAAGAAAGCAAUCAAAAGCAUUCGAAUAGAAAUAUUAAAAAGGUGACCUUUUUAGUUCUUCUUCUUCCCCGAUUCGGGGAUCUUUCUUUCCUGGUUUCUUUCUUUUGUAUUUGGUGUAUAAAAAACAACAAAAAAGGCUUACCUCCGUUCUUGGUUCUCUCGAAUCCUCGCUCACUUCGUCGCAAUCGGAGUUUUUUUUGGGGGGGAUUCAGAGACUUCUAAAAGAACCUUUGGACUCACGGUCGAACGGAGCCGGAUUAGGCCUUUUGUAUGAUGACCGUCGAUCAAGUAUGAAGGUCGGACGACAGGCGAAAGGACUUAGAGUUCGGCCAAAUGAAUAGGAGGCUAGGCUUUAGAUUUUUUUUUUUUUAUCAU